GAAUGGCCACACGAAAGCUAUACUGUCUCCUUUUUCUAAUCAGUCAAACUAAUCUUCCCGUGAAGAAGCGGGAAUAAACCUAUAAGACGAGAAGACCCUAUGGAGCUUCAAACAACCAGGACAUUUGAUUUUACUCUCCCUAUAUUUAACUAUUCUUAUUGUCCUUAGUUUUGGGUUGGGGUGACCACGGAGCAUAAACUAACCUCCAUGAUGAAUGAAUUUUUUUAUCCUUAGCUAAAAGCCACAUCUUAAUGCACCAAUAAACUGACUCUUAUUGACCCAAUAAUUUGAUCAACGAACCAAGUUACCCUAGGGAUAACAGCGCAAUCCACUUCAAGAGCUCUUAUCGACAAGUGG
RNAcentral lists this ribosomal RNA (357 nucleotides) under Dryadobates olfersioides. RNAcentral's name for it is "partial 16S ribosomal RNA". It matches the Rfam family "Bacterial large subunit ribosomal RNA", at positions 1994 to 2515 of the family's 2925-position model. The record is from RNAcentral. Lineage: Eukaryota; Metazoa; Chordata; Amphibia; Anura; Aromobatidae.